RNAcentral lists this ribosomal RNA (502 nucleotides) under uncultured bacterium. RNAcentral's name for it is "bacterial SSU rRNA". It matches the Rfam family "Bacterial small subunit ribosomal RNA", at positions 28 to 526 of the family's 1533-position model. The record is from RNAcentral.
AACGAACGCUGGCGGCAGGCUUAACACAUGCAAGUCGAGCGCCCCUCCUUUCUGGGGAGCUUUGGGUAGUCUGGUUGGCUAUCUGGGGCUGUCUGGAUGGGGGGGAGCGGCGGACGGGUGAGUAACGCGUGGGGAUGUACCCAGAGGUUCGGAAUAACCCAGGGAAACUUGGGCUAAUACCGGAUGAGCCCUGAGGGGGAAAGAUUUAUCGCCUUUGGAUCAACCCGCGUCGGAUUAGCUAGUUGGUGGGGUAAUGGCCUACCAAGGCGACGAUCCGUAGCUGGUCUGAGAGGAUGAUCAGCCACACUGGGACUGAGACACGGCCCAGACUCCUACGGGAGGCAGCAGUGGGGAAUAUUGGACAAUGGGCGCAAGCCUGAUCCAGCCAUGCCGCGUGAGUGAUGACGGCCUUAGGGUUGUAAAGCUCUUUCGCACGCGACGAUAAUGACGGUAGCGUGAGAAGAAGCCCCGGCUAACUUCGUGCCAGCCGCCGCCGUAAAAC